Molecule: long non-coding RNA, 876 nt
Organism: Gasterosteus aculeatus aculeatus (three-spined stickleback)
Lineage: Eukaryota; Metazoa; Chordata; Actinopteri; Perciformes; Gasterosteidae
Source: Ensembl
GCAUGUGCAGAACGGAUCCAAGAAACGGCCAAAACGAAAAUCUAACGGCGCGAAGUGGCGAAAGACAGUAAGAGGAGAGUAUCACAUGGAUGAAGCCAAGCGACCCCAGCGGUGCUGAAAAGAGGAGGAAGAAGGAAGAAAAACAAACAUUUACGUCAAAGUUGCAGAAAGUGACAAGUUUCUUCACUGCUCCUGCGGCAGCGGCCAGCAGCAGCAACCCACCACCUGCUCAACCGACGUGGACACCUGAGGAGGCUCCGUCCUGUGCAAAUGAACAAAAUGAGACAGGGAUGUGCUGUGAGAGCUCUCCAGCAUCAUCCACUGUACUUGCAGAACAUGAUCCAGCACUCUGGCCAAAACAGCUGUCGGAUAGUGCACGAUGCUCAAUAGUGGAGAGAGGAGCACUUCAGCUGUGGAGGAAGGACCUUUUCACCACCCCCCCCCCCCCCGCGGUGAGCUUCGCGUCCACCCAGACGCCCGAGACGGGGUUUUCAGAGCAUGCAAGCUCCUUCUCCCACCGGUACAAUAAGGCGGGAUGUCAGUCACCAAGAAAGGUUCUGACUUCACAAACAAAUCAUCAUUGGUUUUAUUUUGAGGUGACGUGGCAGAAUGUCAAAGCAGCCUUUAUAGACCCGCUCUGUUCCAAUGGGUGGCUGCAUUUUAGGAAACAUACGAGUGAGAGGAAGAAUACAGCGAAACGAGUCGCGAUGGUCAAACUGUCUCUUUUGCUCUUUUCUUCAGGUGAAAAGUUGGGAAGACAUCGUUAACGCUGCAGACUUCCGAGGCCAUUUGUUCUACGGCCAAUUCAUGUUUAUCUUCAUUAUGGGUUAGGGUUCUUGAAAAUGUUGUGGGUUGAAUAAAGUAAUUUAUAAAGGC